This 347-nucleotide transfer-messenger RNA is filed under the name Bacilli bacterium. It matches the Rfam family "transfer-messenger RNA". From Rfam's summary of the family: Bacterial tmRNA, also known as 10Sa RNA or SsrA, is named for its dual tRNA and mRNA-like properties. Its role is to liberate the mRNA from a stalled ribosome. The record is from RNAcentral. Lineage: Bacteria; Bacillati; Bacillota; Bacilli.
GGGCCUGUAUUUGGUUUCGACGGGUUAUAUGAAGUAAGGUAAGCAUGUCGUGGUUGUGCACGUUAAAACACCGAGGUUUAAAAUAACCGGAAACAAACAAAAUUUAGCUUUCGCUGCUUAAUGAAAGCAUCUAAUUAGUUGCCGUCUCUCAGGGCGGCUAUGCGGAUCUCAGAUACUGAGGGUUGAUAUUUAAGAGUGCCUUGGCUUAAAUAUCGAGAUUUAGAGGAUAGGCUUUAUUAGCUUGCUUAUUACAUAAUAAAGUACGAACUAAAGAAAAUAAGAUAAACAUGUAGAAAGCAGUAUGAAUUAUAGUUCGGACAGGGAUUCGACUUCCCUCAGGUCCACCA